GGGAGCUUGCUCCCUGGAUUAGUGGCGAACGGGUGAGUAACACGUGAGCAACCUGCCCCUAACUCUGGGAUAACGCUUCGAAAGGAGUGCUAAUACCGGAUAUGAGCCUGGAAGACAUCUUCUGGGUUGGAAAGUUUUUCGGUUAGGGAUGGGCUCGCGGCCUAUCAGCUUGUUGGUGAGGUAAAGGCUCACCAAGGCGACGACGGGUAUCCGGCCUGAGAGGGCGACCGGACACACUGGGACUGAGACACGGCCCAGACUCCUACGGGAGGCAGCAGUGGGGAAUAUUGCGCAAUGGGUGAAAGCCUGACGCAGCGACGCCGCGUGAGGGAUGAAGGUCUUCGGAUUGUAAACCUCUUUCAGCAGGGACGAAGCGAAAGUGACGGUACCUGAAGAAGAAGCACCGGCUAACUACGUGCCAGCAGCCGCGGUAAUACGUAGGGUGCAAGCGUUGUCCGGAUUUAUUGGGCGUAAAGAGCUCGUAGGCGGUUAGACACGU
RNAcentral lists this ribosomal RNA (499 nucleotides) under uncultured Actinomycetes bacterium. RNAcentral describes it as "bacterial SSU rRNA". It matches the Rfam family "Bacterial small subunit ribosomal RNA", at positions 74 to 588 of the family's 1533-position model. The record is from RNAcentral. Lineage: Bacteria; Bacillati; Actinomycetota; Actinomycetes.